RNAcentral lists this ribosomal RNA (506 nucleotides) under uncultured bacterium. RNAcentral describes it as "partial 16S ribosomal RNA". It matches the Rfam family "Bacterial small subunit ribosomal RNA", at positions 29 to 523 of the family's 1533-position model. The record is from RNAcentral.
AGUGAACGCUGGCGGUAGGCCUAACACAUGCAAGUCGAACGGCAGCACAGGAGAGCUUGCUCUCUGGGUGGCGAGUGGCGGACGGGUGAGGAAUACAUCGGAAUCUACUCUGUCGUGGGGGAUAACGUAGGGAAACUUACGCUAAUACCGCAUACGACCUACGGGUGAAAGCAGGGGACCUUCGGGCCUUGCGCGAUUGAAUGAGCCGAUGUCGGAUUAGCUAGUUGGCGGGGUAAAGGCCCACCAAGGCGACGAUCCGUAGCUGGUCUGAGAGGAUGAUCAGCCACACUGGAACUGAGACACGGUCCAGGCUCCUACGGGAGGCAGCAGUGGGGAAUAUUGGACAAUGGGCGCAAGACUGAUCCAGCCAUACCGCGUGGGUGAAGAAGGCCUUCGGGUUGUAAAGCCCUUUUGUUGGGAAAGAAAUCCAGCUGGCUAAUACCCGGUUGGGAUGACGGUACCCAAAGAAUAAGCACCGGCUAACUUCGUGCCAGCCGCCGCUGUAA